AGUCUCCAUGAUGAAAGUUACGCCGCCCCAGUCUGAUGUCUGACGAACGGCUUUUCUGAUC
This 61-nucleotide small nucleolar RNA is filed under the name Giardia duodenalis assemblage B. RNAcentral's name for it is "Giardia intestinalis assemblage B sRNA C/D-box". It matches the Rfam family "Small nucleolar RNA GlsR4". The record is from RNAcentral. Lineage: Eukaryota; Fornicata; Diplomonadida; Hexamitidae.